This is a long non-coding RNA of Cyprinus carpio carpio, 1084 nucleotides long. Lineage: Eukaryota; Metazoa; Chordata; Actinopteri; Cypriniformes; Cyprinidae. The record is from Ensembl.
CACUGAGAGGCGACAUAUUUUUUCCGGGACGGCCAGUUAUUUAAAAUCGGAAUUUCUCUGAAAUAAAAAAUCUUUGGAGACUUUUGAGAUAUUGUAAGUACACAACUGGAGGAAAUAUAUCACACUGUGCAAGUUAUUUUCGGAAAUUUUAUUACAAAAUUCCUACAUAUUGGAGCUUUAAAGUCUGGGCAGCCCGUGAUGCCAGUACAAGCUGUGCCUGAAAUAUGUAGGACUUCACAGGCAAAAUUGCUAGGGCACAGCCUGAAAAAAAUCAGGACAGACACACUGUACUCCAAAUGUCAGCUUGUCUCCAGAGACACACAAUAACGUGCAACACUUUCUUCACAUGGAAUGCCCUGGGCACAAAGCUUCUUCAGAGAAAAGUGACUGGUUAGAACUGUGUGUAGGAAUAAGCCAAAGCUCCUUUCUUUAGACAAGAUACCUUGCUGGCCCAUGGCACGUUUUUUCAAUAUGCUGGAUGUUUACAUGUGCAUUUCCUUUGUGCUGUGGAAGGAAGUAAAUCUUUCUUGGAUUCAAGCAAAUAGCUACCAAAGAGGUUUUUCUGGAUGAGCUAGAGAGCACAUUUAUGGCCUUCUGAUGAUGGCACCAGAUCUGCUUUCUAUGCAUUUGAAUAUGCGAAGACAGAGCUAUAUUCUUUGUAACCCUCCUACAUCAUACAGAUAUCAAAAUCUCUUUUGAUAUCUAGUUGUGAAAGAUCUAAUUGUUAGCAUUCUGUGGGAGGUCCAAAGUUUCCUCCUUCUGAAAGACUUGAGCAAAAUUUUAUUUAGUCCUCUCACUGAAAAGUAAAAUACAAAUAUAAAUUCUGAAAUUUCCUUGAAUAAAAAAUAAUUAAAAAAAAACACAAAAUCAAUAAAACAAGCAUGCAACAAAAAAACAAUGAAAAAAGCGAAAAGGAAAGGUUAACGUAACAAUAUACAGUAUUGUCAGCCUCACACGAUAACCACAUUGUAAACUGUUUACCACAAUGUAUAUGUGUGCAUUUGUAGACAGCAAUGGAAAAUGAAUGACUUUGUGAACAAGAGGCCUGUGAGAGAGUUCAAAGAUGUGUGUAGGUUUGUGAAAG